RNAcentral lists this transfer-messenger RNA (356 nucleotides) under chicken gut metagenome. It matches the Rfam family "transfer-messenger RNA". Rfam says of the family: Bacterial tmRNA, also known as 10Sa RNA or SsrA, is named for its dual tRNA and mRNA-like properties. The record is from RNAcentral.
GGGGAUGUAAUGGUUUCGACAUUACAUUAGAGGUAUGGAUUGCAAGUAGUGGAUGGUUGCUUUGGCCACUUAAAAAAAGCAAAAUUAAAUAUAAACGCUGAUAGAGAAGAAUUAGCAUUAGCUGCCUAAGUUGCAGCUUCGCUUUACUAAAUAUCCCCACAUAUUUAGAUAAAGUGUCAUAUUAGUGGGAAACGAAGCUACUUUUGCUUUUAAAGUAGUGGGUAUUCUAAAAAGCUAUAUUUUAUUAAAACCUGUUUGUUGGUGUUAGUAAAAUGAAAAUAAAAAACAAACUAAACUUGUAGAUAUCUGUAUGGAAGAUGUUAUGGACAGGAGUUCGACUCUCCUCAUCUCCACCA